GACGAACGCUGGCGGCGUGCUUAACACAUGCAAGUCGAACGGAAAGGCCCUGCGUUUGUGGGGUGCUCGAGUGGCGAACGGGUGAGUAACACGUGAGUAACCUGCCCUUGACUUUGGGAUAACUUCAGGAAACUGGGGCUAAUACCGGAUAGGAGCUCCUGCUGCAUGGUGGGGGUUGGAAAGUUUCGGCGGUUGGGGCUGGACUCGCUGCUUAUGAGCUUGUUGGUGGGGUAGUGGCUUGCCAAGGCUUUGACGGGUAGCCGGCCUGGGAGGGUGACCGGCCACAAUGGGACUGAGAUACGGCCCAGACGCCUACGGGAGGCAGCAGGGGGGAAUAUUGCACAAUGGGCGGAAGCCUGAUGCAGCAACCCCGCGUGCGGGAUGACGGCCUUCGGGUUGUAAACCACUUUCGCCGGUGACGAGGCGUGAGUGACGGUAAUGGGUAAAGAAGCACCGGCUAACUACGUG
RNAcentral lists this ribosomal RNA (468 nucleotides) under uncultured bacterium. RNAcentral describes it as "partial 16S ribosomal RNA". It matches the Rfam family "Bacterial small subunit ribosomal RNA", at positions 28 to 507 of the family's 1533-position model. The record is from RNAcentral.